UGGGGAAUCUUCCGCAAUGGACGAAAGUCUGACGGAGCAACGCCGCGUGAGUGAUGAAGGUCUUCGGAUUGUAAAGCUCUGUUAAUCGGGACGAAAGAGUUCUGUGUAAAUAAUGCAGAAAAGUGACGGUACCGGAAUAGAAAGCCACGGCUAACUACGUGCCAGCAGCCGCGGUAAUACGUAGGUGGCAAGCGUUGUCCGGAAUUAUUGGGCGUAAAGCGCGCGCAGGCGGCCUAUCCAGUCUGUCUUAAAAGUUCGGGGCUCAACCCCGUGAUGGGAUGGAAACUAGUAGGCUAGAGUAUCGGAGAGGAAAGCGGAAUUCCUAGUGUAGCGGUGAAAUGCGUAGAUAUUAGGAAGAACACCAGUGGCGAAGGCGGCUUUCUGGACGAAAACUGACGCUGAGGCGCGAAAGCCAGGGGAGCGAACGGGAUUAGAUACCCCGGUAGUCCUGGCCGUAAACGAUGGGUACUAGGUGUAGGAGGNAUCGACCCCUUCUGUGCCGGAGUUAACGCAAUAANUACCCCGCCUGGGGAGUACGGUCGCAAGGCUG
This 550-nucleotide ribosomal RNA is filed under the name uncultured bacterium. RNAcentral's name for it is "bacterial SSU rRNA". It matches the Rfam family "Bacterial small subunit ribosomal RNA", at positions 355 to 896 of the family's 1533-position model. The record is from RNAcentral.